Molecule: ribosomal RNA, 586 nt
Filed under: uncultured bacterium
Lineage: Bacteria
Description: partial 16S ribosomal RNA
Rfam family: Bacterial small subunit ribosomal RNA
Source: RNAcentral
UGGGGAAUUUUGGACAAUGGGCGAAAGCCUGAUCCAGCAAUGCCGCGUGUGUGAAGAAGGCCUUCGGGUUGUAAAGCACUUUUGUCCGGAAAGAAAUCCUUGGCUCUAAUACAGUCGGGGGAUGACGGUACCGGAAGAAUAAGCACCGGCUAACUACGUGCCAGCAGCCGCGGUAAUACGUAGGGUGCAAGCGUUAAUCGGAAUUACUGGGCGUAAAGCGUGCGCAGGCGGUUUGCUAAGACCGAUGUGAAAUCCCCGGGCUCAACCUGGGAACUGCAUUGGUGACUGGCAGGCUAGAGUAUGGCAGAGGGGGGUAGAAUUCCACGUGUAGCAGUGAAAUGCGUAGAGAUGUGGAGGAAUACCGAUGGCGAAGGCAGCCCCCUGGGCCAAUACUGACGCUCAUGCACGAAAGCGUGGGGAGCAAACAGGAUUAGAUACCCUGGUAGUCCACGCCCUAAACGAUGUCAACUAGUUGUUGGGGAAUUCAUUUCCUUAGUAACGUAGCUAACGCGUGAAGUUGACCGCCUGGGGAGUACGGUCGCAAGAUUAAAACUUAAAGGAAUUGACGGGGUCAUAGCUGUUUCCU